Molecule: ribosomal RNA, 465 nt
Filed under: uncultured bacterium
Lineage: Bacteria
Description: partial 16S ribosomal RNA
Rfam family: Bacterial small subunit ribosomal RNA
Source: RNAcentral
GACGAACGCUGGCGGCGUGCUUAACACAUGCAAGUCGUACGGUAAGGCCCUUUCGGGGGUACACGAGUGGCUAACGGGUGGGUAACACGUGAGUAACCUGCCCACAACUUUGUGAUAACGCUAUUAAACUGGUUCUAAUACUUGAUAGGUGCUCCUGCUGCAUGGUGGGGGUUGGUAAGCUCCGGCGGUUGUGGAGGGACGCGCGGCCUAUUAGCUUGGUGGUGGGGUAGUGGCCUACCAAGGCGGCGAUGGGUAGGCGGCCGGAGAGGGUGACCGGCCAAAUUGGGAAUGAAAAAACGCCCAGAACCCCACGGGAGGCCGCAGUGGGGAAUAUUGCAAAAUGGGGGCAAGCCCGAUGGCGCCACGCCGCGGGCGGGAUGACCGGCUUCGGGUUGUAAAACGCCUUCAGCAGGGACGAAGCUUUUUGUGACGGUAACUGCAGAAGAAGCACCGGCUAACUACGUG